This 253-nucleotide ribosomal RNA is filed under the name uncultured bacterium. Its description in RNAcentral is "partial 16S ribosomal RNA". It matches the Rfam family "Bacterial small subunit ribosomal RNA", at positions 524 to 776 of the family's 1533-position model. The record is from RNAcentral.
UACGGAGGGUGCGAGCGUUAUCCGGAAUUACUGGGCUUAAAGGGUGCGUAGGCUGCGUAGUAAGUCAGGAGUGAAAGUUUGCGGCUCAACCGUAAAAUUGCUUUUGAUACUGCUAUGCUAGAAUUAGGAUGAGGUCAGCGGAAUGUGGCAUGUAGCGGUGAAAUGCAUAGAUAUGCCAUAGAACACCAAUUGCGAAGGCAGCUGGCUAGACCUGGAUUGACGCUGAGGCACGAAAGCGUGGGGAGCGAACAGG